AACGAACGCUGGCGGCAUGCCUAACACAUGCAAGUCGAACGAGACCUUCGUGUCUGGUUGCUCACGGGUGCGUCGCGCGUGGGACCCUUCCCUUAUGUUCGGAAUACUUCCCUUACGUGGGUGCUAAUGCCGGAUAAUUUCUUCUGACCAAAGAUUCAUCGCCCUUGUAUGGGCACGCGUUGGAUUAGCCUGUUGGUAUUGUAAGAGCCUACCACGGCUACGCUCCAUAGCUGGUCUGAGAGGAUGAUCAGCCACACUGGGACUGGGACACGGCCGAGACUCCUACGGGAGGCAGCAGUGGGGAAUAUAGGAAAAUGGGCGAAAGCAUGAACCAGCAAGGCCGCGUGAGUGAUGAAGGCCGGAGGGUAGUAAAGCUCUUUUACCCGGGAUGAUAAUGACAGUACCGGGAGAAUAAGCACCGGCUAACUCCGUG
RNAcentral lists this ribosomal RNA (433 nucleotides) under uncultured bacterium. Its description in RNAcentral is "partial 16S ribosomal RNA". It matches the Rfam family "Bacterial small subunit ribosomal RNA", at positions 29 to 507 of the family's 1533-position model. The record is from RNAcentral.